RNAcentral lists this unclassified non-coding RNA (411 nucleotides) under soil metagenome. Its description in RNAcentral is "partial contains 5.8S ribosomal RNA, internal transcribed spacer 2, and large subunit ribosomal RNA". The stretch from base 1 to 122 matches the Rfam family "5.8S ribosomal RNA", at positions 35 to 154 of the family's 154-position model. The record is from RNAcentral.
GAUGAAGAACGUAGCGAAAUGCGAUACUUGGUGUGAAUUGCAGAAUCCCGUGAACCAUCGAGUCUUUGAACGCAAGUUGCGCCCGAAGCCGUCAGGCCGAGGGCACGCCUGCCUGGGCGUCACACGCCGUUGCCCCCCCGCGCCCCGCACCCAACUCUUUGGGAGCGACCGCGGGGCGGGCUGAUGAUGGCCUCCCGUGCGCUCCGCCGCGCGGUUGGCCCAAAUACCGAGUCCCCGGCGACGUGCGCCACGACGAUCGGUGGUUGAGAGACCUCUGUCGCAAGUCGUGCGCGCCCGUCGCGUCACGCGGGCUCGCAUAGCGCCUCGCGCCGCACCCGGUGCGGAGCUUUCAACGCGACCCCAGGUCAGGCGGGGUUACCCGCUGAAUUUAAGCAUAUCAAUAAGCGAGGA